RNAcentral lists this ribosomal RNA (537 nucleotides) under uncultured prokaryote. RNAcentral's name for it is "bacterial SSU rRNA". It matches the Rfam family "Bacterial small subunit ribosomal RNA", at positions 21 to 549 of the family's 1533-position model. The record is from RNAcentral.
GGCUCAGGACGAACGCUGGCGGCGUGCCUAAUACAUGCAAGUCGAGCGGACGAAUUUUUGGUGCUUGCACCAAACUUUCGUUAGCGGCGGACGGGUGAGUAACACGUGGGUAACCUACCCUAUAGUUUGGGAUAACUCCGGGAAACCGGGGCUAAUACCGAAUAAUACUUUUUAACACAUGUUUGGAAGUUGAAAGACGGUUUUGCUGUCGCUAUAAGAUGGACCCGCGGCGCAUUAGCUAGUUGGUGGAGUAAUGGCUCACCAAGGCAACGAUGCGUAGCCGACCUGAGAGGGUGAUCGGCCACACUGGGACUGAGACACGGCCCAGACUCCUACGGGAGGCAGCAGUAGGGAAUCUUCCACAAUGGACGAAAGUCUGAUGGAGCACGCCGCGUGAGUGAAGAAGGAUUUCGGUUCGUAAACUCUGUUGCAAGGGAAGAACAAGUAGCGUAUUACUGGCGCUACCUUGACGGUACUUGUUAGAAGCACGCUAACUACGUGCCACAGCGCGGUAUCCGUAGGUGGCAGCGUGUCGGA